RNAcentral lists this ribosomal RNA (301 nucleotides) under uncultured bacterium. Its description in RNAcentral is "partial 16S ribosomal RNA". It matches the Rfam family "Bacterial small subunit ribosomal RNA", at positions 509 to 807 of the family's 1533-position model. The record is from RNAcentral.
CAGCCGCCGCGGUAAUACGAGGGGGGCAAGCGUUGUUCGGAAUUAUUGGGCGUAAAGGGUGCGUAGGCGGUUUGGCAAGUCUUGUGUGAAAUCUUCGGGCUCAACCCGAAGCCUGCACGAGAAACUGCCGGGCUUGAGUAUUGGAGAGGUGAGUGGAAUUCCUGGUGUAGCGGUGGAAUGCGCAGAUAUCAGGAGGAACACCGAUGGCGAAGGCAGAUCUCUGGGCCGUAACUGACGCUGAGGAGCGAAAGCAUGGGGAGCGAACAGGAUUAGAUACCCGAGUAGUCCCUGUCUCUUAUAC